UUUGGUUAAUUGCUUGCUUCCAGGAACCAAUUCGCCGACAUAUUUUCCGUAUUCAAAGUGACCUUAGCGUGACCCUUAUCGUAGAAAUCCGGUGAUCGCAAUACGCAUGGAUCUAUCAUUUAAAUAAACUAUUAUCUGAUUGUACAUGUUAUACACGUGCUUAAUAUCCAUGCUUCUUUGUUGAUUGUUUACUAUAUGGUGACAAUCGGUAAACUACGGCUUCAAAAUACGACAAUUAAUGAGCGGCCAUAUUUUCAAUUCAUAACAGACAGAGAGAAAAAA
RNAcentral lists this long non-coding RNA (282 nucleotides) under Mytilus galloprovincialis (Mediterranean mussel). The record is from RNAcentral. Lineage: Eukaryota; Metazoa; Mollusca; Bivalvia; Mytilida; Mytilidae.